This 363-nucleotide long non-coding RNA is filed under the name Setaria viridis. Its description in RNAcentral is "long non-coding RNA (SVIR_LNC000482)". Lineage: Eukaryota; Viridiplantae; Streptophyta; Magnoliopsida; Poales; Poaceae. The record is from RNAcentral.
CAUUUGGAGCUCGGGUUCCAUGCAAGCAAGCAUAAGGCAGCUUAUCUCAAGAUUGGCAUCAAAUGCUUUCUUGUAAGCAGCCUUAACGGCAGCAGAUGCAUCCUCAACAGGUACUUGGUAUAAUGGGGUGUCUAGAACAUCUUCCUUUUUAUCGGCCUUGAGAACAAUUCUCAGGUUACGGAUCCAAUCCGAGUAGUUUGUUCCAUUCAACUUGUCCUUCUCAAGGACCGAACGCAAAGCAAAUGGUGUGGUGUUGUUAGGUGUCAUUUAAUCUACAACAAAAGUAAUGCAAAAUACACUAAGAUAAACGUAUCCAUGAUAGAGUAAAUCACAUUAAACUAUUUAACAGAAUCUACUCCCACU